This 339-nucleotide RNase P RNA is filed under the name Ruminococcus sp. RNAcentral's name for it is "RNase P RNA component class A". It matches the Rfam family "Bacterial RNase P class A". From Rfam's summary of the family: Ribonuclease P (RNase P) is a ubiquitous endoribonuclease, found in archaea, bacteria and eukarya as well as chloroplasts and mitochondria. Its best characterised activity is the generation of mature 5'-ends of tRNAs by cleaving the 5'-leader elements of precursor-tRNAs. Cellular RNase Ps are ribonucleoproteins. The record is from RNAcentral. Lineage: Bacteria; Bacillati; Bacillota; Clostridia; Eubacteriales; Oscillospiraceae. RNAcentral also lists the same sequence under 3 other names.
CGAGUAAGCUAUGCGGUUGAACGCUUUUUGCGUUAGGAAAGUCCGGGCAUCACAGAGCAGGGUAGCUGCUAACGGCAGCCGAGGGUGACCUUAGGGAAAGUGCAACAGAGAUAUACCGCUGAUUUUUUCAGUAAGGGUGGAAAGGCGAGGUAAGAGCUCACCGGGGCAGCGGAGACGCUGCUGCCAUGUAAACCCUAUCCGAUGCAACGUCUAUUGGUACGUGUACGUCAAUGUCUGCUCGGCAGGCGUACCGUAAAGACGGCUAAAGCGUUUCGGCGACGAUCCGCUCAGAUAGAUUUCCGCACACGACAAAACCCGGCUUAUCGGCUUAGUCGCAUU